RNAcentral lists this ribosomal RNA (397 nucleotides) under uncultured bacterium. RNAcentral describes it as "partial 16S ribosomal RNA". It matches the Rfam family "Bacterial small subunit ribosomal RNA", at positions 523 to 918 of the family's 1533-position model. The record is from RNAcentral.
AUACGUAGGGAGCGAGCGUUGUCCGGAAUGAUUGGGCGUAAAGGGCGCGUAGGCGGCGCGGUAAGUCUGGAGUGAAAGUCCUGCUUUCAAGGUGGGAAUUGCUUUGGAUACUGCCGCGCUUGAGUGCAGGAGAGGUUAUCGGAAUUCCCGGUGUAGCGGUGAAAUGCGUAGAGAUCGGGAGGAACACCAGUGGCGAAGGCGGGUAACUGGACUGCAACUGACGCUGAGGCGCGAAAGUGUGGGGAGCAAACAGGAUUAGAUACCCUGGUAGUCCACACUGUAAACGAUGAAUGCUAGGUGUAAGAGGUAUCGACCCCUUUUGUGCCGGAGUCAACACAAUAAGCAUUCCGCCUGGGGAGUACGGCCGCAAGGUUGAAACUCAAAGGAAUUGACGGGG